AGUGCUCAGGCAUAGUGCCUGAGCUUUUGUGUACUGUAGGGUGGUACACGAAGAAGGGCUGGGCAAGACCGGUGCCAGCCGCCGCGGUAACACCGGCAGCCCGAGUGAUAGCCAAUUUUAUUGGGCCUAAAGGGUUCGUAGCCGGCCUUGCAAGUCCGUUGGGAAAGUUGCGCGCUCCCCGCGCAGUCGUCCAGCGGAUACUGUGAGGCUUGGGACCAGGCGACUUGAGGGGUACGUCCGGGGUAGGAGUGAAAUCCUGUAAUCCUGGCCGGACCGCCGAUGGCGAAAGCACCUCAAGAGACUGGCUCCGACGGUGAGGAACGAAAGCUAGGGUCUCGAACCGGAUUAGAUACCCGGGUAGUCCUAGCUGUAAACGAUGCCUGUUAGAUGUAGCGCAGACUACGCGUUUGCGCUGUGUCGCAGUGAAGACGCUAAACAGGCCGCCUGGGAAGUACGUCUGCAAGGAUGAAACUUAAAGGAAUUGGCGGGGGAGCACCACAACCGGAGGAGCCUGCGGUUUAAUUGGACUCAACGCCGGACAUCUCACCAGCACCGACUGUAGUGAUGACGGUCAGGGUGAUGCUCUUACUCGAGUUACAGAGAGGAGGUGCAUGGCCGCCGUCAGCUCGUACCGUGAGGCAUCCUGUUAAGUCAGGUAACGAGCGAGAUCCACACCUCUAGUUGCCAGCAGCAUCUUGCGAUGGCUGGGUACACUGGGGGGACUGCCGUGGUUAACACGGAGGAAGGAAUGGGCAACGGUAGGUCAGCAUGCCCCGAAUGUGCUGGGCGACACGCGGGCUACAAUGGCCAAGACAACGGGUUCCGCCACCG
This 831-nucleotide ribosomal RNA is filed under the name uncultured haloarchaeon. RNAcentral describes it as "bacterial SSU rRNA". It matches the Rfam family "Archaeal small subunit ribosomal RNA", at positions 384 to 1213 of the family's 1478-position model. Lineage: Archaea; Methanobacteriati; Methanobacteriota; Halobacteria; Halobacteriales; Halobacteriaceae. The record is from RNAcentral.